CUAGGUAGGCAAUAAAAAUACACUUGAAAGAAGUCAUAUUACAGGAGACAGUGAUAUCCUCAAUUGCUGGAUAUUUUCUGUCAGCCACUCAACUACGAUUUUCUAGGGACGAGGAUUUGUUGUCCCUUGUGAUGCAUCGUCACUUUGGCCCAUAACUUUAUUCUUGAAAAAGACAUAUUGCUAGAUGUGGAACAAUGUGGAUACGACAACGACAUUGAAUAAUUUGGACUUGUUGAUGGCAAAAGGACCUAUAUUUCGACGUACAUGAAAUGUGGGAAUCAUGGAUUAGGUUUUCCAGUAGGGGCAAAAACAUACACUAUGUGAAAGCUUUCUUACGAAUGCGCACCUUCUUGCAGUAUUACUGACCCAAUUCCCUUCGAUCGGAGACGUAUUUAUUAUUUCUUGAAUCAAUACUUGGCCAUUUCAAAACCUAGAAGUUUCUACACGGCAAGAACUGACGAACCAUCAGCACCUUCUUCCCUUCAUCAUCUACCCCAAAGCAGAAUCUUGACCCUCCCAGUCCCACCACAGCAAUCGAUAAAGAUUCCAAGAUCCAGGGACCAAAGCAAAACCAAGAUCGAAUAAAGAUUUUGUAGAAGCCUAUUUCCCCUUCAAGGCUGGACUUCUCCGACGAAUACGACGACAUUACCUAACUUUAUGGCGUCGAUUGACGAUCGAAGGAGAGCCCGAAUCCUCGACAUGGAUCCGGCGCCGCGGCAGAAGCCCGAUCGGAGUAUCCUGAGGGCAUUCCAGAGGCGCAUGGGCGGCGAGGAGUUUCUCUUGAAGAUUGCCCAUCAGACGGCUACCACCGGUUCUUGAAAAACCGUCAGAGGUGACGUCACCUCGCAGUUCACCCGUAGGAGAUCGGUGGAGCCCAUCCGCGUGGAUGCCACGUGCUCCGGAUGACGAGGGCAUUUAUAGAAGGCAGCCGGGUCGGGUCCGAAUCAACGACUGAAUCGAACGGUCCGGUCCAUUGUGAGGGAAACGAGUCAACCGGCUCCGCAGACCAGUCCUCGUGGUCGGUUUAUAUCCCUCCGAUCGGAACAUAUUGUC
This 1053-nucleotide long non-coding RNA is filed under the name Musa acuminata (dwarf banana). RNAcentral describes it as "long non-coding RNA (MACU_LNC000824)". Lineage: Eukaryota; Viridiplantae; Streptophyta; Magnoliopsida; Zingiberales; Musaceae. The record is from RNAcentral.